This 706-nucleotide ribosomal RNA is filed under the name uncultured soil bacterium. RNAcentral describes it as "bacterial SSU rRNA". It matches the Rfam family "Bacterial small subunit ribosomal RNA", at positions 29 to 769 of the family's 1533-position model. The record is from RNAcentral.
UUGAACGCUGGCGGCAUGCCUUACACAUGCAAGUCGAGCGGCAGCGCGGGGGCAACCCUGGCGGGGAGCGGCAGACGGGAGAGUAACACGUGGGAACGUACCCUUCAGUUCGGAACAACCCAGGGAAACUUGGGCUAAUACCGAAUACGUCCGUAAGGAGAAAGAUUUAUCGCUGAAGGAUCGGCCCGCGUCUGAUUAGCUUGUUGGUGAGGUAACGGCUCACCAAGGCUACGAUCAGUAGCUGGUCUGAGAGGAUGAUCAGCCUCACUGGGACUGAGGCACGGCCCAGACUCCUACGGGAGGCAGCAGUGGGGAAUAUUGGACAAUGGGCGCAAGCCUGAUCCAGCCAUGCCGCGUGGGUGAUGAAGGCCCUAGGGUUGUAAAGCCCUUUCGGCGGGGAAGAUAAUGACGGUACCCGCAGAAGAAGCCCCGGCUAACUUCGUGCCAGCAGCCGCGGUAAUACGAAGGGGGCUAGCGUUGCUCGGAAUCACUGGGCGUAAAGCGCACGUAGGCGGGUUCUUAAGUCAGGGGUGAAAUCCUGGAGCUCAACUCCAGAACUGCCCUUGAUACUGAGAAUCUUGAGUCCGGGAGAGGUGAGUGGAACUGCGAGUGUAGAGGUGAAAUUCGUAGAUAUUCGCAAGAACACCAGUGGCGAAGGCGGCUCACUGGCCCGGUACUGACGCUGAGGUGCGAAAGCGUGGGGAGC